Molecule: unclassified non-coding RNA, 436 nt
Filed under: fungal sp.
Lineage: Eukaryota; Fungi
Description: partial internal transcribed spacer region
Rfam family: Eukaryotic small subunit ribosomal RNA (bases 1-46)
Source: RNAcentral
AAGUCGUAACAAGGUUUCCGUAGGUGAACCUGCGGAAGGAUCAUUAACACGUUAUCCACGUUUAUCAACCAAUACGAAGAACUGAACUCCCCGUUUUCCAAACCAAAUUCGAACGCUGUUCUGAUGAAUUAUUGUGGGUUCGACUAGAGACCGAGAAUGACGAAGCCUCUUCGGAGAUCUGACCUCUUGGACACUAGUUGGGCAUAUUCGUCAGAACUGCCACUCCUUUACUGAGAGUGGGGCUAGUAGAGACCGGAUUGGCGGGCUUACUUUUCAAUCCACCCCAACCACUUUGGGUGCUGGUGCGAAUUCCAUACCAAUUUCACCCUAUUUUACCUAUUUGACUAAUACUAAGCAUUCGUUGGAGAAAUCCUUCGAAUCGACUAAGAUUUAUCUUAACUAAGCACAACUCUUAGCAAUGGAUAUCUUGGUUCUC